UACGUAGGGCGCAAGCGUUGUUCGGAUUUACUGGGCGUAAAGGGCGCGUAGGCGGCAUAUUAAGUCAUCUGUGAAAUCUCCGAGCUUAACUCGGAACUGUCAGCUGAUACUGAUGUGCUAGAGUGCGGAAGGGGCAAUCGGAAUUCUUGGUGUAGCGGUGAAAUGCGUAGAUAUCAAGAGGAACACCUGAGGUGAAGACGGGUUGCUGGGCCGACACUGACGCUGAGUGCGCGAAAGCCAGGGGAGCAAACGGG
This 254-nucleotide ribosomal RNA is filed under the name uncultured bacterium. RNAcentral describes it as "partial 16S ribosomal RNA". It matches the Rfam family "Bacterial small subunit ribosomal RNA", at positions 524 to 776 of the family's 1533-position model. The record is from RNAcentral.